Enhydra lutris kenyoni (northern sea otter) is the source of this 921-nucleotide RNA transcript. It is a transcript of the gene named protein PRRC1 pseudogene, with no coding region annotated. NCBI's taxonomy places the organism in Eukaryota, Metazoa, Chordata, Mammalia, Carnivora, Mustelidae. The record is from RefSeq and is a predicted model, not a curated record. The transcript is spliced from 2 exons.
AUGAGUAAGCUGAUGACAGAUGACAAAGGGAGUGUGGGGGAAAGGAUUUGCAACAAACAACUACACAAGGAUUCCAAUGCACCACUGUUCAACAAGGCUGUUCAAGUUGGCGGGGACGCGCAGCGGGAGCUCUUGCCGGUAUCUUCGUGGUCUUCUCGGAGCGGUAUUUUGCCGACUCCCAUUACUCAGCAAGCCAGUUUGACAUCUCUGGCCCAAGGACCGGGAACCACAUCAGCCAUUACGUUUCCAGAGGAACAAGAAGAUCCUCGAGUUGGUAGAAGUCAGGAUGAAGCAUCUGCUGGUGGACUCUGGGGUUUUAUUAAAGGUGUGGCCGGAAAUCCUGUGGUGAAAUCUGUGCUUGAUAAAACAAAACAUUCAGUAGAAAGCAUGAUUACAACGCUGGACCCCGGCAUGGCUCCGUAUAUCAAAUCUGGAGGUGAACUGGAUAUUGUAGUGACCUCAAAUAAAGAAGUAAAAGUUGCUGCCGUCUGAGAUGCCUUCCAGGAGGUCUUUGGCUUAGCUGUGGUCAUAGGGGAAGCUGGACAGUCCAAUAUUUCCCCACAGCCGGUAGGCUAUGCAGCUGGAUUAAAAGGUGCCCAGGAACGGAUAGACAGCUUGGGUCAAGCUGGAGUGAUCCAUGAAAAACAGACUGCUGUGUCAGUAGAAAACUUCAUUGCAGAAUUGCUACCUGACAAGUGGUUUGACAUUGGCUGUUUGAUAGUGGAAGACCCCGUCCAUGGCAUUCACCUGGAAACGUUUACACAGGCCACACCUGUGCCUUUGGAAUUUGUACAGCAGGCUCAAAGUCUCACUCCCCAGGACUACAGUCUGAGGUGGUCAGGCCUUCUGGUGACAGUGGGUGAAGUCCUGGAAAAGAGCUUAAUGAACGUGACGCGGACUGACCAGAGCAAAAAUCAAUGA